UGAAUGUCAGUUUGUAAUUUGUGGAGUUUAAGGUAUACUAAGGUUGCUUCUGGAUGUCCUAGUUUAUUGAAGUGUAAGAUUGCUUCGUGAAUAUCCUACUUUACUAGAGUGCAACUGUACAGGGUUGCUUUCUAAGUGUCGUCUCUAAUUUGUGGUGUGUCACAAACUCACAAGAAAUUAAGCUAAGAAAUUGACUAAAACACUAACUUUUAUAUAACAUAUGACAUCUUUCAUGUUCAUUAGAUAGUUUGUCACAUGAAAAGGGCAAGCGUCACAUAAGCUCCAAAGAAUAGACAUCAUCAUUCCCCUAAAACAUUUUUUGUGGAAUUGAUGUUAAUUUGAUGAAAUUAAAAGAUAAAUCCUUUGCUAAACCUUAACAUUGGUUUAUCGAUUUAAUAUCAGGUUUGCUUUUGACUGCUACCUUUCGCCUGACAUCUGAUUCAUUCUCUUCAUCUUUGAGGUCUAGGAUCUAUUUGAAGAUUAUGGUGGUGGAAGAAAAGAAUCAAGGGAUGAUGCAUAGCUCCUUCAACUAUGAAGCUCAUAUUCUUGAAGUUAUAGGCUUUGAGUGACCUUUGUUUUGAAAUUUUAGAAAAAUAAGUUGGAAUUAAAUAGUAAACGUGAUUUUUUGGUAAUAAAUUUGUGUUUUGGAGAUACUAGCUAAUUAAAUAGUCUUGAUAAUGUGUAAAUAUAAUUCGGUGAUAUGUUUUGAAGCGAAUACGUAUUAUUAUAUAAAAUUAAUAU
Spinacia oleracea (spinach) is the source of this 741-nucleotide long non-coding RNA. RefSeq lists it as uncharacterized. NCBI's taxonomy places the organism in Eukaryota, Viridiplantae, Streptophyta, Magnoliopsida, Caryophyllales, Amaranthaceae. The transcript has 3 exons. The record is from RefSeq and is a predicted model, not a curated record.